CCUACGGGUGGCAGCAGUGAGGAAUAUUGGUCAAUGGGAGAGAUCCUGAACCAGCCAAGCCGCGUGAGGGAAGACGGCCCUAUGGGUUGUAAACCUCUUUUGUCGGAGAACAAAACCCGGGACGUGUCCCGGACUGCGUGUAUCCGAAGAAAAAGCAUCGGCUAACUCCGUGCCAGCAGCCGCGGUAAUACGGGGGGUGCAAGCGUUGUCCGGAAUCAUUGGGCGUAAAGAGUUCGUAGGCGGCACGUAAAGUCUGGUGUUAAAGGCAGAGGCUCAACUUCUGUACGGCACUGGAUACUUGCGAGCUAGAAUGCGGUAGAGGUAAAGGGAAUUCCUGGUGUAGCGGUGAAAUGCUUAGAUAUCAGGAGGAACAUCGGUGGCGUAAGCGCUUUACUGGGCCGUAAUUGACGCUGAGGAACGAAAGCCAGGGUAGCAAAUGGGAUUAGAUACCCCAGUAGUC
RNAcentral lists this ribosomal RNA (460 nucleotides) under uncultured bacterium. RNAcentral describes it as "partial 16S ribosomal RNA". It matches the Rfam family "Bacterial small subunit ribosomal RNA", at positions 338 to 795 of the family's 1533-position model. The record is from RNAcentral.